UUAGGUGAGCUGUUUCUAAACAGCCCCAGCACAAUCCUCCUAAACAGCCAAAGCUAAAUAAGCUGGCCAAGUUAAGGAAGAUGACAGCUCCAGUAACUUCCUCUUCCUCACCAACCUCCCCCGCUCAAGCGUGUGCACGCCUCCCCCCGCCCUCCCCCCCCCCGCGCGCGCCCGCCCGCCGGGUAAAACAUUUCAAACGCAAAAAUCCUUCCAAUCCCACAAACACCAUCGGCCAAAGAAGCCCGUUUCCCUUUCUUCCACCUCCCGUCCAAGGAGAUUUUUUUCCCUGGGGGGGGGGGGGGCUGGGGGGUAUAAUCUUAGCAACGACAAAGUACUUGCAACAAAACCUGAAAA
Perognathus longimembris pacificus (Pacific pocket mouse) is the source of this 354-nucleotide long non-coding RNA. RefSeq lists it as uncharacterized. The transcript has 3 exons. NCBI's taxonomy places the organism in Eukaryota, Metazoa, Chordata, Mammalia, Rodentia, Heteromyidae. The record is from RefSeq and is a predicted model, not a curated record.